AAAUCACCAAAUUUUGGGGUGAAUACGACUAUUUCAUAGCUGAAGGAUACAUAUCAAACACAGAUAUACUUGUCAUGCAUCAUGGAUGUAUGUAUUAUCAAGGAUAAACUCUGGAGCACAAGAACUUCCAAGUCAAACAGUUUUUCAUCAAUGGAAAGUACUACCGUUUUGGUUGGAGAGCUCAUUUGAGCUCAACAAUCCAACCCAUCUUAUCCUCUGAGAGCCCCAUUUGUAGGCUAGUAAGUGCAGAGUAUAACUGCUGCGACACAAAACCAACACCAUCAUUUCCAUAUGUCACCCUUCUCCCUUGAUGAGUAAUGCUACCAACAGGAGAUACUACCACGGCAGUUCCCGUACAGAAAACUUCGUCAGCAUCAAGCAAUUCGUCCACAGACACCUGUCGUUCCUCAACCUCGAAUCCUUGACUAAUAGCUACGUCGAUUAUGCUCUUUCGCGUAAUUCCAGGUAGAAUGGUUCCUUUAAUUGCAGGAGUUACUAUCAGAUUACCCUUCACAAUAAAGACAUUGCAAGAGGAAACCUCUUCGAGAUAUUUUUUCUGAACACAAUCAAGGUACAGAACAUCAGAAUAGCCUUUUGCUUUAGCAGCACUCUGUGCCUUCAGAACUGCAGCAUAAUUUCCAAUAGUCUUAACGCCUCCAGUACCACCAGGUGUUGCACGGUGCAUUUCAGUCUCAACUACCAAAUUUAUUGGUGCCAAACCUUCCUUAAAAUAAUUUCCAACAGGUGACACAUAAAUCAGGAAUGUGUACUCAGGAGCAGGAGCAAGACCAAGAACAGCUCCACUCCCCAUAAGCAGAGGUCUUAUGUAUAAUGAGCCUUUACCGGGAGGAGGAAUCCAUCUUUCAUUAGCUAACACAGUGGCUUUCACUGCUUCUACAAACUGUUCAACAGACGGUGAAGGCAUACACAUACGUUCAGCACCCAUCUUCAAACGCGUAGCAUUUUCCUCAGGUCGAAACAACAAUAUAUUGCCGUCAUGUUUUCGAUAUGCUUUUAAACCUUCGAACAAUCCCUGACCAUAAUUUAAUAUUCCAGCAGACGGACUCAACUCAAUGUUACCGAAACGCUGUAAUUCACCCUUAGAAAAGUUUUCACCCUGAGAGCAUUUCAUGCUAUACAUAUAAUCAGUAGGCAUAAAGCCAAAGCCAAGGUUAUCCCAAUCGAUGUCGGCUAAUUCAGAUGCAACGUCGCUUGCAGGAGAUGCCACACGAAAUGAAUUUCCACUGUUUAUGGCACUAUUACCAAUAUAAGAAGUGAAAUGCGACUGCUUCUGAAACUUGAGGGGCAAAGGAGAAAAAUUGAUUUUAUCAAUGGAAGGAGGAAGAAGCUUAAUAGCAGUUCGUGAUGGACCCAGAAGGUGGUUAUGGUGACCGGGAGUAGGGUGAAGCCCUGCAAAUACGGCGGGGGGAGCUGAGCAGAGAGAUAACACAAAAGAUAAAUGGAGAGCGCCGCCGUAUUUGCAGG
This 1485-nucleotide unclassified non-coding RNA is filed under the name Hevea brasiliensis (rubber tree). Lineage: Eukaryota; Viridiplantae; Streptophyta; Magnoliopsida; Malpighiales; Euphorbiaceae. The record is from RNAcentral.